UAAUAGAAAGGAGAUUUUUGACAUGUUAAUUGUAUGAUACAAUAAGCUUAGCUCCCAAUAGAUCAUAGAUUUUAUUAAUUUGCACAGCUAGAAAAGGAAAAGUUAGAAUCUUUCAAGAAAAUUUUAGAAAAAAAUGAAAGUGAAAGAAAAGAGAUAAAAGAGAGAGCAAUAGAGAAAUGUAGGAAUAAGAUAGGAUAGAGUAGAGG
Molecule: long non-coding RNA, 206 nt
Filed under: Carica papaya (papaya)
Lineage: Eukaryota; Viridiplantae; Streptophyta; Magnoliopsida; Brassicales; Caricaceae
Description: long non-coding RNA (CPAP_LNC004516)
Source: RNAcentral